GAAAAUAGUAGCUGCCAAUCACAGUUAACGUUGCUUAGGUCUAUCUAGUAUGGACGAUCACACAGCUCCUAGACCAGGCAAGCGUACCGUGGGUUUCAUUCAGCGUCUGUCCAUUGUUGCUAACAGAACUGAAGAUGUAGUCUCUCAAUAGACUUUGCUUGAACUUAUGUAGUGAUUUGAUAUUUAUUAUGACUUUCGGCCGGCUUUAGUCUUUCCUUUUAUUGGCUCUGCAACCUUCUGUUGUAGUAGCAUGUUCAGUUUGCUUGCGUUUUAGAAGUUUUUUAAAAGUAAAGAAGAGAGAGAGUAUCAAAAAUUGUCACCUCACAAUGGAGAUUUUUCUCCUAUAACCGCUACUAAAGCGGUCAAUGUACGCGUUCAUCAAAGUACGGGUCCAUCAAAGUAUGGGUCCAUCAAUGUACUAGUCCAUCAAUUUACGGGUUCAUGAACGUGUGUCUUUAAGCCGCUGAGACGCCUCUGAAUCGAUGGCAGUCCUAGAAGCUUGGGAUAUGCUGUCUCCUGUCCAUCUGGACGUGUAGAGCUCGACCACCGAGCCUAGAUUCAAAUUGAAGAAACAGCUUUGAGGUAACAACUUUUUCCAAAUCAAACAAACGUCCCAGGAACUCCGGAUGUGGCAGAAUGGGUUCUAGUGACUAUAGACUUUCAAAAAAGGGAGGGGUGAGCCAUUCAAUCAAUUAAAACGUGCGGAAUUAGACUUUUGUUAAAUCGUAAUUUUGAGAUAUUAUUGGGGAUGGAUAGUUUACAAAUUUUAUUAAUUUGGUUUGAGUAAUGGAUUUUCGGUUGUAUGUUUAAAUUGAAAUGUGAGGCCAUAUUUUCUCAGUAAGGAUCCAGCUGGGAAUUUCAGAUUUCUUUAAAUUUAUAUUUUAUAAUCUUCUAGACUACUAAAAGUUGAAUUAGUAUUUAUGAAAUGUUUAAAGGUCCCUUAUUGAUAAAUUGAUGUUUUAAAAUAAUUUUGGUCUUAAAGUUGUAAAGGAUCGAAUAGAAGUUUCAAGGACCCUAGCUUUUCUGAAUUUGUUGAUGACACAUAUUUUUUUAAUAGUUUUCCAAGGUAGAAUUCUGUGAUGUAAUUUUAGGAAUAUUUUGUCUUUGCAGCUUUCAUGAUAUAAAUAUACAGAAUAGAUAUUAAUGGGGAUUAUUAAUAUUUGAUAAUGUUUUGAUAGUGUUUUAAAAGUUUCCAAGUGUGUUCCAAAUGUUCUAAGAAUUUUAUGUUGAUCUUUCUUCUAGAAGAUGUAUUGUUAUUUUAUGAUCAACUUCUGAGGAAUGUCCAUGAUAUAUUCCAAUUCUUCUUUCUGAAAUUAGAGUCCUUAAAGCUUCUCAUGAUUCAAUCUAAAACGUUUUCAAUGUAGAGCAGACAGAGUAGGAUACUAUUGUAUUAGCUAUAUGGGAGAUAACUUUCUGAAUUUAGUGAUUCUAUUUUCGGUUUUCAUGAUGUAACUUCAUUUCGUUUUAUUAAUUGUUGAAUUUAACUGUAAGAGGUGACAAUAUAGUUGAAAUCUUCUCUCUA
Molecule: long non-coding RNA, 1522 nt
Organism: Nilaparvata lugens (brown planthopper)
Lineage: Eukaryota; Metazoa; Arthropoda; Insecta; Hemiptera; Delphacidae
Exons: 2
Source: RefSeq, a predicted model, not a curated record